AUAGGAAAAUUUAUUAAAAAAAAAAUUUUAAUAAAUAUUAAAAAAAGAAAUUUGUUUUUAAGUAUAAAUUAGAAAAAAUAAUUUUUAUGAUAGAGAAUUAGUAUUGAGAAAGAAGAGAAAGAAUAUUAGUGUAAGAAAAAAAUUAUUUUGUACCUUGUGUAUCAGGGUUUAUUAAAUAAAAUAAAGAUUAUUAAUUCUCGAAUUUAAAAGAGCUAAUUAGUUAUUAUAUUAUUGUGGAAUAAAUAUAUAAAAUAAUUAAUUAGAAAUGAAAUGUUAUUCGUUUUUAAAGUUAUCUAGUUAUUUAAGAAAAAAAUUUAAUUUUAUAAUUAUAAAUAUUUAUAUAAUUAUUAUUUAAAUAUUAGUAGUUGGAAAUUUUUUUUGGGAUUAGCUAAAAAAAAGAUUUAUAUAAAUAAGUAAAAUUUUUAAAAAUUUUAGGAUUAGAAGUUUUCAUUAAUAAAAUAAUGUUAUAAUUAAUUUUAGAUUAUUUUUAAUUUUUAUUUAUUUUAUAUUUUUUAUUAAAUUAAUUUGUAAAAUUUUUGAAUAGAUGUAAUAAUGAUAAAAUUAGUAGUUAAAAUUUUUAAGUUAAAGAUUAAAGUUAGGUAAGUUUAAGGAAUUCGGCAAAUAUAUUUUUCACCUGUUUAUUAAAAACAUGGCUUUUUGAUCAUAAUUUAAAGUCUAGCCUGCCCACUGAGGAUUUAAAGGGCCGCGGUAUUUUGACCGUGCUAAGGUAGCAUAAUCAUUAGUUUCUUAAUUAGAAGCUGGAAUGAAUGGUUGGAUGAGAAAAUUACUGUCUUAAAUUUAAUUAUAAUGAAUUUUAUUUUUAAGUCAAAAAGCUUAAAUUUUAUUAAAAGACGAGAAGACCCUAUAGAGUUUAAUAUAAAUAAAAUUUAUAUUUUUAGAAUUGUAAUUGUAAAUUGGCAUUUAUAUUUAAUUGGGGUGAUUGAAAAAUUAAUAAAACUUUUUUUUAUUAAGAACAUUUAUUUAUGAUUAUUUGAUCCAUUUUUAGUGAUUAUAAGAUUAAAUUACCUUAGGGAUAACAGCGUAAUUUUUUUUGAGAGUUCUAAUCGAAAAAGAAGAUUGCGACCUCGAUGUUGGAUUAAAAUUAAUUUUUGGUGUAGAGGCUAAAAAAUUGGGUCUGUUCGACCUUUAAAAUUUUACAUGAUCUGAGUUUAAACCGGCGUGAGCCAGGUUGGUUUCUAUCUUUAAUGAGUUAAUAUAUUUUAGUACGAAAGGACCAAAUAUGUAAUAAAAAAUUUUUAAAAGAAUAAUAUU
Molecule: ribosomal RNA, 1272 nt
Filed under: Cerambycidae sp. 8 KM-2017
Lineage: Eukaryota; Metazoa; Arthropoda; Insecta; Coleoptera; Cerambycidae
Description: 16S ribosomal RNA
Rfam family: Archaeal large subunit ribosomal RNA (bases 1033-1191)
Source: RNAcentral